CGAGGUGCUAUUGGAGCGGGGCCCCUCUCUCUAUUCAGCCUGAGAGCUACAGGGAGAGCGCUGCCGCGGAAGGGGGGGGGGGGACGUGUAAUCACCCAAACAGCCCUUUUUAACCCCCCCACCACCCUCCCCUCCCACCUCCCACGACACUGCUGGAUCUGUGCCGCAAGUCUGCCGCGAGGCUGUCCGUCUUUCACUGCGGAUACCGCGAGGGGAGGCCGAGGAAGACACCGAGAGGAGGAAGAGGAGAACCGGAUGGUCGUGAGGACGGGAAGUCACGUGCCAAAGAAAUAAGUCUGAUUUGCACCUGAGAAGCUCUCCGGCUCCACGCUGGGCCUGAAAUGGGACCCUAGUCACUGUGGCCCCUUGGAGUUUGCGUAGUCCUCUCGAGUCCCACCUGAUCACCUACAUUUUUCCUGCAUGUCACAGUGAGUGCUGCUGCGCUUGAGUCGGAGGAGAGUGUUUCUUACUGGAGAAGCAUGCAGAAAGACCCACACCAGUUAUUCUGUGCUGGUGUAAAGUAAUACAUGUUUUUUGUUGUAUUAUUUGUUAGUAUUAUUUAUAUAAUUGCAUAACUGCUAUAUAUGAUCUAUUAAAAUGUACAAUAUCUCUCAGCCUAAAUCUGAUAUGUCAAGUAAUGUCUGUAAUACUGUCAAGUCCAUUGGUGUUUGCGCAUUGAUACAAG
This is a long non-coding RNA of Gasterosteus aculeatus aculeatus (three-spined stickleback), 685 nucleotides long. Lineage: Eukaryota; Metazoa; Chordata; Actinopteri; Perciformes; Gasterosteidae. The record is from Ensembl.